This 497-nucleotide ribosomal RNA is filed under the name uncultured bacterium. RNAcentral's name for it is "partial 16S ribosomal RNA". It matches the Rfam family "Bacterial small subunit ribosomal RNA", at positions 28 to 507 of the family's 1533-position model. The record is from RNAcentral.
GAUGAACGCUGGCGGCGUGCCUAAUACAUGCAAGUCGAGCGAACGGACGAGAAGCUUGCUUCUCUGAUGUUAGCGGCGGACGGGUGAGUAACACGUGGAUAACCUACCUAUAAGACUGGGAUAACUUCGGGAAACCGUAGCUAAUACCGGAUAAUAUUUUGAACCGCAUGGUUCAAAAGUGAAAGACGGUCUUGCUGUCACUUAUAGAUGGAUCCGCGCUGCAUUAGCUAGUUGGUAAGGUAACGGCUUACCAAGGCAACGAUGCAUAGCCGACCUGAGAGGGUGAUCGGCCGCACUGGAGCUGAGACACGGUCCAGACUCCUACGGGAGGCAGCAGUAGGGAAUCUUCCGCAGUGGGCGAAAGCCUGACGGAGCAACGCCGCGUGAGUGAUGAAGGUCUUCGGAUCGUAAAGCUCUGUUAUUAGGGAAGAACAUAUGUGUAAGUAACUGUGCACAUCUUGACGGUACCUAAUCAGAAAGCCACGGCUAACUACGUG